UGCAAGUCGAACGGUGAAGCCCCGCUUGCUGUGGGUGGAUCAGUGGCGAACGGGUGAGUAACACGUGAGCAACCUGCCCUGGACUCUGGGAUAAGCGCUGGAAACGGCGUCUAAUACUGGAUAUGAGCCUUCAUCGCAUGGUGGGGGUUGGAAAGAUUUUUUGGUCUGGGAUGGGCUCGCGGCCUAUCAGCUUGUUGGUGAGGUAAUGGCUCACCAAGGCGUCGACGGGUAGCCGGCCUGAGAGGGUGACCGGCCACACUGGGACUGAGACACGGCCCAGACUCCUACGGGAGGCAGCAGUGGGGAAUAUUGCACAAUGGGCGGAAGCCUGAUGCAGCAACGCCGCGUGAGGGAUGACGGCCUUCGGGUUGUAAACCUCUUUUAGCAAGGAAGAAGCGAAAGUGACGGUACUUGCAGAAAAAGCGCCGGCUAACUACGUGCCAGCAGCCGCGGUAAUACGUAGGGCGCAAGCGUUAUCCGGAAUUAUUGGGCGUAAAGAGCUCGUAAGCGGUUUGUCGCGUCUGCUGUGAAAUCCCGAGGCUCAACCUCGGGCCUGCAGUGGGUACGGGCAGACUAGAGUGCGGUAGGGGAGAUUGGAAUUCCUGGUGUAGCGGUGGAAUGCGCAGAUAUCAGGAGGAACACCGAUGGCGAAGGCAGAUCUCUGGGCCGUAACUGACGCUGAGAGCGAAAGGGUGGGGAGCAAACAGGCUUAGAUACCCUGGUAGUCCACCCCGUAAACGUUGGGAACUAGUUGUGGGGUCCUUUCCACGGAUUCCGUGACGCAGCUAACGCAUUAAGUUCCCCGCCUGGGGAGUACGCGCAAGGCUAAAACUCAAAGGAAUUGACGGGGACCCGCACAAGCGGCGGAGCAUGCGGAUUAAUUCGAUGCAAC
Molecule: ribosomal RNA, 892 nt
Filed under: Microbacterium hibisci
Lineage: Bacteria; Bacillati; Actinomycetota; Actinomycetes; Micrococcales; Microbacteriaceae
Description: bacterial SSU rRNA
Rfam family: Bacterial small subunit ribosomal RNA
Source: RNAcentral